GGAAGAGCCGGGGGCAGCCGUGACGGGGGGAGGCCGCGCUGCCCCUUCCCUCCCCCGUCCUCCCGAGGGCCAGGGGCGCACCCCGGGGCGGGGAGAGGACGAGGCCGGGCUCCCCGGGGAGAGGCAGCGAGAGAAGGGCCCGCGGAGCCCCAGCACGGAGCGGGGACCCCGCCCCGCUGCCCGGCUGAGGAGGAGGAGGAAGAGGAGGCCGGCGGGGAGCGAGGCGCCGAGGAGGCCCCGGCCUCCCCCCCCAACACACACACACACCCCCCCGUGCCUCGGCCCCUCCCCGGAGCCGCCGCCCCGCGGGCCGGGUGCUCGGGCGGCCCCGUGAGGAGCCGGGGGAGGAGGCGGCGGAGGGAGCCGGAGCCCCUCAGGCCCGCCGGGAGGCCCCCCGGGAGCUCGGCCCCAGCCGGCCGGCCGCGGGGAGCCGCGGUUACCGUGUGCGGGGCCCAAUUCUCGUGGUGUUUGUCGGGCGGCUGCGAUAAUGGCGUCCUUCCUCGCGAGACGGCUCCGGCUCCGCAGCGCGCAGGCUCCAACGCGCCGAGCCCGCUCGGCCCCCGCCCGCCCCGGCCGUCCGCGCCUGCGUGCCGACGGACGGGGCUCGCAGCCGCCCCUCCGCCGCCGCGCCCGCCGGGACGGACUACAAGUCCCAGGGGGCAGAGCGGCCGCUCCUCGCUGCCGGCCCCGCCGGGCAGGCCGGGAGCUGUAGUACACGGGGGUGGGGCGGUGCCUUCUGGGAAUUGGAGUCCGCAAGCGGCAGACCCGCAAGGCACACGGGCACACUUCACACGCCUUACUCGCGCCUUACUCACACCUUACUCACACCUUACACGCACCUUACACACUUCACAUCUCACAUACCACAUACCCCUCACACUCCACAUACCCCUCACGCACCACAUACCCCUCACACUCCUCACACACCAUAUACCCCCCACACACCUCACACCCCACGCAUCAUAUACCCCUCAUGCUCCUCACACACCUCACACACCUCACGCCCCUCACACCCCUAACGCACCUCACGCACCUCGCACCUCACACACCAUAUACCCCUCACACUCCUCGCACACCUCACGCACCUCACACACACACACACCCCACAUGACGCCCUCCUUCUCUUCCCCGAGUGUCCUGCUCUCCGGACACGCUCCCAGCCCUGACACAGCCCCGAGGGCUCCCCAAGCCCUCCUGCUCUGA
Molecule: long non-coding RNA, 1203 nt
Filed under: Anser brachyrhynchus (Pink-footed goose)
Lineage: Eukaryota; Metazoa; Chordata; Aves; Anseriformes; Anatidae
Description: lncRNA (ENSABRG00000021518.1)
Source: RNAcentral